This 361-nucleotide long non-coding RNA is filed under the name Brassica napus (rape). RNAcentral describes it as "long non-coding RNA (BNAP_LNC026131)". The record is from RNAcentral. Lineage: Eukaryota; Viridiplantae; Streptophyta; Magnoliopsida; Brassicales; Brassicaceae.
UAAAACUUAAACCUAAAACCCAAUGAAAAUCCUAAGCAUUAGAUCCAAAGGGUAAAUUCUUAUCCCAAAUAAUAUACCCACAAGUCUAAACCCAAAAAAUAAACAUGAAACUCUGAACCCAGAAUAAAUCGUGAACCCAAACUCAUAAGAUAAACUUUAACCCUUAAAUCCUAAACCAUAAGGAUAAAUAUUAAAUCUAAAGGAUAAACACUAAACCCUAACACGAACGAUAAAAUCUACUUCAAAAGAUGAACCUUAACCUUGUAUCAGAAAUAGACCCUAAACCCAAAGGAUAAACCCUUAACCCAAAACCCAAAGAAUAAAUCAUAAACCCAAAAUCAUAUGAUAAACACUAAAUCCA